This 443-nucleotide ribosomal RNA is filed under the name uncultured bacterium. RNAcentral's name for it is "partial 16S ribosomal RNA". It matches the Rfam family "Bacterial small subunit ribosomal RNA", at positions 338 to 795 of the family's 1533-position model. The record is from RNAcentral.
CCUACGGGUGGCAGCAGUGGGGAAUAUUGGGCAAUGGGCGCAAGCCUGACCCAGCAACGCCGCGUGAAGGAAGACGGCUUUCGGGUUGUCAACUUCUUUUCUGCGGGACGAAGAACGUGACGGUACCUCAGGAAUAAGCCACGGCUAACUACGUGCCAGCAGCCGCGGUAAUACGUAGGUGGCAAGCGUUAUCCGGAUUUAUUGGGUGUAAAGUGCGUGUAGGCGGGAAAGCAAGUCAGAUGUGAAAACUCAGGGCUCAACCCUGAGCCUGCAUUUGAAACUGUUUUUCUUGAGUGCUGGAGAGGCAAUCGGAAUUCCGUGUGUAGCGGUGAAAUGCGUAGAUAUACGGAGGAACACCAGUGGCGAAGGCGGAUUGCUGGACAGUAACUGACGCUGAGGCGCGAAAGCGUGGGGAGCAAACAGGAUUAGAUACCCUUGUAGUC